GCCCGGUUAACUCAAUGGUAGAGUGUGCGGCUUUUAUUCACCCGGUUUCAUUCCAAUGGUGACCGCAAAGUUGGGGGUUCGAGCCCCCCAUCGGGCG
This 97-nucleotide transfer RNA is filed under the name Aspergillus ustus. It matches the Rfam family "tRNA". From Rfam's summary of the family: Transfer RNA (tRNA) molecules are approximately 80 nucleotides in length. Their secondary structure includes four short double-helical elements and three loops (D, anti-codon, and T loops). The record is from Rfam by way of RNAcentral. Lineage: Eukaryota; Fungi; Ascomycota; Eurotiomycetes; Eurotiales; Aspergillaceae.